CCUACGGGUGGCAGCAGUGAGGAAUAUUGGUCAAUGGACGAGAGUCUGAACCAGCCAAGUAGCGUGAAGGAUGACUGCCCUCUGGGUUGUAAACUUCUUUUAUAUGGGAAUAAAAUGUUCCAUGCGUGGGCUUUUGUAUGUACCAUAUGAAUAAGGAUCGGCUAACUCCGUGCCAGCAGCCGCGGUAAUACGGAGGAUCCGAGCGUUAUCCGGAUUUAUUGGGUUUAAAGGGAGCGUAGGUGGAUUGUUAAGUCAGUUGUGAAAGUUUGCGGCUCAACCGUAAAAUUGCAGUUGAAACUGGCAGUCUUGAGUACAGUAGAGGUGGGCGGAAUUCGUGGUGUAGCGGUGAAAUGCUUAGAUAUCACGAAGAACUCCGAUUGCGAAGGCAGCUCACUGGACUGCAACUGACACUGAGGCUCGAAAGUGUGGGUAUCAAACAGGAUUAGAUACCCGAGUAGUC
RNAcentral lists this ribosomal RNA (460 nucleotides) under uncultured bacterium. RNAcentral's name for it is "partial 16S ribosomal RNA". It matches the Rfam family "Bacterial small subunit ribosomal RNA", at positions 338 to 795 of the family's 1533-position model. The record is from RNAcentral.